GGAUGCGAGGGAGAUCUGGCUGUGACAUCUGUCGCCCCAUUGAUCGCCAGUGUUGAUUCUGGUUAUCUGGUUGCCUAGGCAGGUGUCCCCUUCCUCCUUCACUGCUCCAUGUGUGUCCCUCCUAAAGCUGUGUGCUCUGUUAGUCGAAGAGGAUGGCCUUCCCCAAAUAGAGAUGGACAGGACCGGUCUUCGGUCAAGAGCAUAUAAGUAGCUGUGCUCCCCUGCUAGAACCUUCAAACAAGCUCACAAGGUCCAUUUAGGAGAAUGUAGGAGAAUGUAGGGUAGGCAAGCUUCUAAGACUCCAGACAAAUCCAAAUGAGACACUGUAUGUGGCAGUCUGCCUUUCUUU
Molecule: unclassified non-coding RNA, 349 nt
Organism: Erinaceus europaeus (western European hedgehog)
Lineage: Eukaryota; Metazoa; Chordata; Mammalia; Eulipotyphla; Erinaceidae
Gene: 7SK
Rfam family: 7SK RNA
About the family: 7SK was discovered as an abundant small nuclear RNA in the mid-70s but a possible function has only recently been suggested. Two independent studies have found that 7SK RNA binds the CDK9/cyclin T complex (known as elongation factor P-TEFb).
Source: Ensembl